AAGGUCGACCGGGGUUAAUGUGUUCUCGGGGCUAUGGUGUUUUGUCUAUAUUUUUGGCCUUUAUUUCGUUAUAUGUGAUUUACGGCAUCUAUUAAAGAGUAGAGAAACUAUUUGGUUACAAACUUACGCAAUGAAGACAUCUCUAAUAUUACUGCUUUACCGAUACGGCCAUUUUUUCAGAGUCGUCAGUUAUUUGGCUAGAUUGACGUUGUGCGUGUAAUUUACAUAUUCGCUUUUUAAACUUAAAACUGUGGAUGAUGUGAAUUUAUUUUAAGAUGGUGCGUCACUAUAAGCGAAAAACUAAUCACUCAUAUUCUCAAGAAUCACUCCAAAAAUGAUACCACGUAUGCAGCCACUGGCAUCUGGAGCUUCCAAACCCACAACCUUAGCCCCCUUCAUGGCGUGCCUUGCGUGUCACAACCCGCGUGGGUCGCAGAGUUUGAAACUAGUCGUGCAUGCUCCGGCAAACAAUCCGUCAUACAUUUAUGUUUAUAAUAUUAUAGAAUUUCUUAUCCAGAUGAAGAAGACUUUAUUUUGUUUUAUGAAAAUGUGCUUUGACUUUUGAAAAGAUUAAUUUGAUAAAUUAUUACUAUAAACAAACUUGUCGAUAGUCAAUUUCACAUCACUAAAUUGAACCUGAAUAGCUACAAUUGCCCCAAAUAUGAUUAAAACUUUUAUUUUUGCA
This is a long non-coding RNA of Maniola jurtina (meadow brown), 685 nucleotides long. RefSeq lists it as uncharacterized. NCBI's taxonomy places the organism in Eukaryota, Metazoa, Arthropoda, Insecta, Lepidoptera, Nymphalidae. The transcript is spliced from 2 exons. The record is from RefSeq and is a predicted model, not a curated record.